Molecule: long non-coding RNA, 1020 nt
Organism: Homo sapiens (human)
Lineage: Eukaryota; Metazoa; Chordata; Mammalia; Primates; Hominidae
Source: Ensembl
AGCCCACCAGCCUCCAAACAGUUCUGCGAAAAAUUAGGCUAUCUUUCAUUAGCUAUCUAUCAUGCGGCCUCCACCAGGCUGCAGGAUAUGAGGGCCAUUUAAUUAGGCCCUGCACCACUCUCGGGUGUGAAAAGGCUCUCAAACGCUUUGAUUCCCCGCUGCUUCGCAGCAGGAAGUUGUUGGCGAUAAUUGACAUAGGAUUUCCUUGUUAACCAGCAGCAGACACGCCGGAUUAAAGCGACAGAGAUCUCGAGAAGAAAGUGAAAGAGAUAAGAAGCUCGGAAGACUUCUGCUUAUUUGGCACUUGAGGAUGGCAGGAAACAGCAAUAACCUACUCAAGUGGCGACUCUAGAGUGGAAGGGCGUCCCCUUAUCAGACCUAUUUCAGCUUGGCUGAUCAAAGAUUGACUCCCCGCAAAAUCACAUAGGCCUGGGGUUUGUUAGUUUAUUAAGCAGCAGGUUUUAGGAAUUAUCACAGGUUUAAAGAUGGAUUGCAGUUUAUGUGAAGGGGGAGAGGAUUAUCGGGUUUUCAUCUUAACAAUUAUAAAAUAUCACAGCUGAAAGCUUGCUUGCAAAUGACAUAAUUUUCCACUGCCAACUAAACAGGUCAUUGUGAGGCUGCCUGUGAGCGCACUCAACGAGGGAGGAAAUACAGGCAAAUUAACUCUGGGGAGGACCGGGGAUGAGGGGCCUCCACGCCUUGUUCCACUUCGGAAGACGGUGCGAUCUCAUUUUGCCCUGUGCGAUUCCUUAGGUAUAACAUCCAAUUGCUCCUGUUGGAAGGGACACUCUGCAUGUAAAUGGCAGAGACACUCUGGUUCACUCAAAUGUAUUGUUCCUGAAAGAAAGGAAGUGGUCUGCAGAGGUAAAGUUGGAAAAUGGUUGUUUACCUGUCAGCACCAGAGUCUAAAACUUACUACAUUGAAAUCACACCAAGCAUGAACAUAGGGUACCAUGUGCCAGAAAUUAGCCUGUUUCUGAUGGGGAAAAAUAAACUGGCAUGAAAUUUAUUUUUCCUAAA